Molecule: non-coding RNA, 1062 nt
Organism: Podarcis lilfordi (Lilford's wall lizard)
Lineage: Eukaryota; Metazoa; Chordata; Lepidosauria; Squamata; Lacertidae
Source: the annotation of a GenBank genome assembly
ACGAAUUCUACCUUAUUUGAAUGUAUCUUCUGCCUAAAGGACUGUCUAGUGUACUUUAAACCUGAAAUAGGGAGGGCAGGAGGGAGCCCUGAAGUGGACCAUUCACAAUGAGCGCUUAGACCACAGCAGGUACACAGGGCUGUCUUCCCCACCGGGCUGAGAGUUCUUGCAUUCCUAUUACAAUUGUAGCCAUUCUUUCUUUCUAAAAUGGCAUCGAGACAUAAACACGGCCACUUUUUCCUCUUUCUUGGUGACGCGUGUCCUUUCUUGGGAGCCAUUCCAGUGAGGCCCAAGGAGCCACAGAACAUUAAGUGUCCACUGGGAAAGGAAACUGGGUAGAGAGGGCAUGGAAUGGAGUAGCCCCAAGUGGGGCAUGGCUGGCCAAUUGGAACCCUGAACAGGAUCGCUCAAUGCUGCAAGGUUUUUGCUGCAAUUCCCACUUGUAAACUCUUCAUUAAACAAAAAAACAAAGACCACAAAUAAAUCUCUGGAGCUCUCCUUUCUGCCGGAACGAUUAUCUCUCCAAUCUAGGCGCCUAGUUUCUCCCAAGAAUUUUCUUAGUUCCCCUCCAUGUUGCCUGGACCCAGCCUGUUACCACUGACCACUGCAUCCCCUCGGACCCCAGAUGACCGCUCUGGAAGCUGAUGGCCGGCCAAUGUCACACUGCCCCUUUGGCCACUUCCGCCUCCCUCCAGUUGUCCUCUGCAAAAGAGUCCAAACUUGUUACGUAACCGGGACUGAUCGCCAUGGAAGCCAGGAGGAAAAAGUGCCCAUUGUAAUUUCGUGGGAAACAUUUGCAGUCUUUGUUCCGAAAGCCAAACUCUCCCCCCCCCCUUCUUGUUGAAGUCCUUGCCUUUGAGAAAUAAAUCUCUUUCAUCCAUGAGCCUUACAAAAAGAAAAGAGAAACAGCCAAUCUGCCAAAUACAGAGUCCCAAGUGGAACGCCAGAUGAAGCCAAAUAAAGAGAGAAAGACCAGAAGCAAACCUGGAGGCUUCUGGGAAAAUCGCAACUUUCGGGAUGGUUUGGCAAAGGGAAAGUGGUUGUUAUGAUGAUGCAGGUGGU